Molecule: ribosomal RNA, 891 nt
Filed under: Hepatozoon canis
Lineage: Eukaryota; Apicomplexa; Hepatozoidae
Description: SSU rRNA
Rfam family: Eukaryotic small subunit ribosomal RNA
Source: RNAcentral
CAGCAAAACUGCAAAUGGCUCAUUAAAACAGUUAUUGUUUACUUGAUAAUAAUUUUUACAUGGAUAACCGUGGUAAUUCUACAGCUAAUACAUGAGCAAAAUCUCAACUUUAUUAGAAGAGACGCAUUUAUUAGAUAAAAAGCCAGUUCAUGCUUUUAUAGUAUGAAAAUUGGUGAUUUAUAAUAACUUAGCAAAUCGCAAAGUGAAAACAGGCGAUAAAUCAUUCAAGUUUCUGACCUAUCAGCUUUCGACGGAAUGGUAUUGGCUUACCGUGGCAGUGACGGUUAACGGGGGAUUAGGGUUCGAUUCCGGAGAGGGAGCCUGAGAAACGGCUACCACAUCUAAGGAAGGCAGCAGGCGCGCAAAUUACCCAAUUCUAACAGUUUGAGAGAGGUAGUAACAAGAAAUAACAAUACAAGGCAGUUAAAAUGCUUUGUAAUUGGAAUGAUAGAAAUUUAAACCCUUUUUAAAGUAUCAAUUGGAGGGCAAGUCUGGUGCCAGCAGCCGCGGUAAUUCCAGCUCCAAUAGCGUAUAUUAAAAUUGUUGCAGUUAAAAAGCUCGUAGUUGAAGUUCUGCUGAAAGUAACCGGUCUGCUUUUAAUAAAAGUGGUAUCUUGGUAUGUAUUUAGCAAUGAUGUCCUUUGAAGUGUUUUUUACUUUAUUGUAAUAAAGCAUAUUCAGGACUUUUACUUUGAGAAAAUUAGAGUGUUUCUAGCAGGCUAACGCUUUGAAUACUGCAGCAUGGAAUAAUAAGAUAGGAUUUUAGUUCUACAUUAUUGGUUUUAAGAGCUAAAUUAAUGAUUGAUAGGGACAGUUGGGGGCAUUUGUAUUUAACUGUCAGAGGUGAAAUUCUUAGAUUUGUUAAAGACAAACUACUGCGAAAGCAUUUGCC